Molecule: ribosomal RNA, 540 nt
Filed under: uncultured bacterium
Lineage: Bacteria
Description: bacterial SSU rRNA
Rfam family: Bacterial small subunit ribosomal RNA
Source: RNAcentral
AACAGGAUUAGAUACCCUGGUAGUCCACGCCCUAAACGAUGUCUACUAGUUGUCGGGUUUUAAUUAACUUGGUAACGCAGCUAACGCGUGAAGUAGACCGCCUGGGGAGUACGGUCGCAAGAUUAAAACUCAAAGGAAUUGACGGGGACCCGCACAAGCGGUGGAUGAUGUGGAUUAAUUCGAUGCAACGCGAAAAACCUUACCUACCCUUGACAUGUACGGAAGACCGAAGAGAUUUGGUUGUGCUCGAAAGAGAACCGUAACACAGGUGCUGCAUGGCUGUCGUCAGCUCGUGUCGUGAGAUGUUGGGUUAAGUCCCGCAACGAGCGCAACCCUUGUCAUUAGUUGCUACAUUCAGUUGAGCACUCUAAUGAGACUGCCGGUGACAAACCGGAGGAAGGUGGGGAUGACGUCAAGUCCUCAUGGCCCUUAUGGGUAGGGCUUCACACGUCAUACAAUGGUACAUACAGAGGGCCGCCAACCCGCGAGGGGGAGCUAAUCCCAGAAAGUGUAUCGUAGUCCGGAUCGCAGUCUGCAACU